GUUUAAAUAGUUUAUUAAAACUUUAAUUUGUGGAAUUAAGAAUAUGAUUUUUCAUUUUAGACA
RNAcentral lists this transfer RNA (63 nucleotides) under Tomicus piniperda (common pine shoot beetle). RNAcentral describes it as "tRNA-His". Lineage: Eukaryota; Metazoa; Arthropoda; Insecta; Coleoptera; Curculionidae. The record is from RNAcentral.